RNAcentral lists this ribosomal RNA (387 nucleotides) under uncultured bacterium. Its description in RNAcentral is "bacterial SSU rRNA". It matches the Rfam family "Bacterial small subunit ribosomal RNA", at positions 29 to 416 of the family's 1533-position model. The record is from RNAcentral.
AACGAACGCUGGCGGCAUGCCUUACACAUGCAAGUCGAACGGCAGCACGGGAGCAAUCCUGGUGGCGAGUGGCGAACGGGUGAGUAAUAUAUCGGAACGUGCCCGGUCGUGGGGGAUAACGUAGCGAAAGCUACGCUAAUACCGCAUACGAUCUACGGAUGAAAGCGGGGGAUCGCAAGACCUCGCGCGAUUGGAGCGGCCGAUAUCAGAUUAGGUAGUUGGUGAGGUAAAAGGCUCACCAAGCCGACGAUCUGUAGCUGGUCUGAGAGGACGACCAGCCACACUGGGACUGAGACACGGCCCAGACUCCUACGGGAGGCAGCAGUGGGGAAUUUUGGACAAUGGGCGCAAGCCUGAUCCAGCAAUGCCGCGUGCAGGAUGAAGGCC